Sphagnurus paluster is the source of this 84-nucleotide non-coding RNA. The record is from the annotation of a GenBank genome assembly. NCBI's taxonomy places the organism in Eukaryota, Fungi, Basidiomycota, Agaricomycetes, Agaricales, Lyophyllaceae.
GGCAUUAAUGGGGUAGUGGUAACCUGGGUCGUUGCCACUUUGCGGAAAUCGACCCGCCGGGAGUUCGAUUCUCUCUUAUAGCCC